This 438-nucleotide ribosomal RNA is filed under the name uncultured bacterium. RNAcentral's name for it is "bacterial SSU rRNA". It matches the Rfam family "Bacterial small subunit ribosomal RNA", at positions 958 to 1392 of the family's 1533-position model. The record is from RNAcentral.
AACGCGAAGAACCUUACCUGGCCUUGACAUGUCUUGGGAUCCCUCAGAGAUACGGGAGUGCCUUCGGGAAUCCUGAACACAGGUGCUGCAUGGCUGUCGUCAGCUCGUGUCGUGAGAUGUGGGGUGAAGUCCCGCAACGAGAGCACCCCUUGUCCUUAUUUGCCAGCGAGUAAUGGAGGGAACUCUUAGGAGACUGCCGGUGACAAACCGGAGGAAGGUGGGGAUGACGUCUAGUCAUCAUGGCCCUUACGGCCAGGGCUACACACGUACUACAAUGGUCGGUACAGAGGGUUGCAAUACCGCGAGGUGGAGCCAAUCCCAGAAAGCCGAUCUCAGUCCGGAUGGGAGUCUGCAGCUCGACUCCGUGAAGUCGGAAUCGCUAGUAAUCGCGAAUCAACAUUGUCGCGGUAAAUACUUUCCCGGGUCUUGUACACACCG